This 355-nucleotide ribosomal RNA is filed under the name uncultured Anoxybacillus sp. Its description in RNAcentral is "bacterial SSU rRNA". It matches the Rfam family "Bacterial small subunit ribosomal RNA", at positions 1027 to 1382 of the family's 1533-position model. Lineage: Bacteria; Bacillati; Bacillota; Bacilli; Caryophanales; Anoxybacillaceae. The record is from RNAcentral.
CAGGGUGACAGGUGGUGCAUGGUUGUCGUCAGCUCGUGUCGUGAGAUGUUGGGUUAAGUCCCGCAACGAGCGCAACCCUCGACCUUAGUUGCCAGCAUUCAGUUGGGCACUCUAAGGUGACUGCCGGCUAAAAGUCGGAGGAAGGUGGGGAUGACGUCAAAUCAUCAUGCCCCUUAUGACCUGGGCUACACACGUGCUACAAUGGGCGGUACAAAGGGUCGCGAACCCGCGAGGGGGGAGCCAAUCCCAAAAAGCCGCUCUCAGUUCGGAUUGCAGGCUGCAACUCGCCUGCAUGAAGCCGGAAUCGCUAGUAAUCGCGGAUCAGCAUGCCGCGGUGAAUACGUUCCCGGGCCUU